UGAGGAAUCUUGCGCAAUGGGGGAAACCCUGACGCAGCAACGCCGCGUGAGUGAAGAAGGCCUUAGGGUCGUAAACCUCUGUUGUGUGGGAAGAAGAGCGUGACGGUACCACACGAGGAAGUCCCGGCUAACUACGUGCCAGCAGCCGCGGUAAUACGUAGGGGACGAGCGUUGUCCGGAUUUACUGGGCGUAAAGGGCGCGUAGGCGGUCAUUUAAGUCAGCUGUGAAAUGGUUUGGCUUAACCGGAUCAUGCGGUUGAAACUGGAUGACUGGAGUGCUGGAGAGGCAAGUGGAAUUCCCAGUGUAGCGGUGAAAUGCGUAGAUAUUGGGAAGAACACCGGUGGCGAAGGCGACUUGCUGGCCAGCAACUGACGCUGAGGCGCGAAAGCCAGGGGAGCAAACG
RNAcentral lists this ribosomal RNA (404 nucleotides) under uncultured prokaryote. Its description in RNAcentral is "bacterial SSU rRNA". It matches the Rfam family "Bacterial small subunit ribosomal RNA", at positions 355 to 774 of the family's 1533-position model. The record is from RNAcentral.